UACGGAGGGAGCUAGCGUUGUUCGGAAUUACUGGGCGUAAAGCGCACGUAGGCGGCUUUUUAAGUCAGGGGUGAAAUCCCGGGGCUCAACCUCGGAUCGGCCGUGGCGACUCGUGGGCUGGAGCACUGUAGAGGCGGGUGGAAUUCCGGGUGUAGCGGUGGAAUGCGUAGAGAUCCGGAAGAACACCAGUGGCGAAGGCGGCCCGCUGGGCAGUGGCUGACGCUGAGGCGCGACAGCGUGGGGAGCAAACAGG
This 253-nucleotide ribosomal RNA is filed under the name uncultured bacterium. Its description in RNAcentral is "partial 16S ribosomal RNA". It matches the Rfam family "Bacterial small subunit ribosomal RNA", at positions 524 to 776 of the family's 1533-position model. The record is from RNAcentral.